AAAUAUAAAAAAAGAAGAUGUGGUAUGAUUGCCAAUGAGACAACUCUCCACAAGAGACCAACAUGACACAGAAAUUAACAACUAUAGGUCACCGUAUGGCCUUCAACAAUGAGCAAAGCUCAUACCACAUAGUCAGCUAUAAAAGGCCCCGAAAUGACGAUGUAAAACAAUUCAAAUGAGAAAACAAACGGCCUUAUUUAUGUACAAAAAAUGAAAAAAAGUUCAACUAUAUCCUAAAAGAGCAAAAAAUUAAUAAAAAUAAAAA
This 265-nucleotide long non-coding RNA is filed under the name Mytilus galloprovincialis (Mediterranean mussel). Lineage: Eukaryota; Metazoa; Mollusca; Bivalvia; Mytilida; Mytilidae. The record is from RNAcentral.